AGAAGGACGUGGCUGCCGUUCAUGACCCACCAUGCAGCGUGGGCAGUGACAGGAGCGUGACUCACAGAUAAGCAUGCAGGCCUGAGCUCCACCCACCCUGACGGCCAGCGUGAUGGGGGGCAAGUUACCGAAUGACCCCACAGAGAGGGCUCCUGAUCUGCUCCAGGGAGGAAAUAAUCCCACCUCCCGGAAGAGGUAUGAGAGUAAAGGUUCGAGAGUCCAGACCACAGGACGAAAACAGAAACUCUUCCUUCCCUUCUUCAGCACCCACUUCCCCAGCUGCCUCAGGUGUCCACAGUAGGGAGAGAAGCCUCUCAGAAGGAAGAGUCGCAACCACAGGGAGUUGGAAAGAGAAGCUUCUCUAAGUGCUGGAUUAUCAAGAUAAAGGAAAGCACGUGAAACUGGGGCUGAAGAUCUUAGGACAUGUUCCCGACAUGGCCCUGCUGACCCUAAGGAUCAGGGAUGUGGCCAGAAGGCUGAGUACCAGCAUCCAGAGGCAAGAAAAGCCUGGGCUGGACCUGGGUCCCUGUGACACACGCGACAGGCAAGGAAAAUGGGCACAGGAUAAACAGGCGGCCGCACACACUGCCGAGCUCUUUCCCAGCCUCCUCCUCGGGGUCGACCUUCAGCCUCCAUUUCAAAGUCUCUCAGGGCAGAACAACAAGACCCAACAUGAUAAUUACAGUAAGUAAUAGCAAUUGUUAACAGUCAAUGGCACGUGGUGCUUACUCCACGUCAGGCAUUGUUCUAAAACGUUUACGCAUGUUCUCUCACUUCACCUUCCCCUGAGGAUGGGUAAACCGAGGCAUGGGGCAGUUACAUGACUCAUCCUGAAGUCGGAUGCACGGUAAAUGGGGGAGCCAGAGUUUAAAACACACGGUCUGGUUCCUGGUCUUCACUGCUACCCUCCAAGGCUGCCCCGAGCACCCUGUCCUCACGUCGCCCUCACUCAGCUCCUGGCUUCAUGUGCGUUUCUAGCAAAGUCAUAGCCAUGAUUUCUGCCACCCCUGUUUUCUCCACCCUAAGAUGGUACAGGAAUCAACACCAAUCUGACAGCUAUUCUGGAAGGAAACAGAAGGGCGUGCCUUCAUGCCCUAUCCAGAAAGAGGGACAGAGAACAUGUGCCAAGAGGUCCCAGGUCACAUGUAGUAGCGAGCACACGGUCAACAGCACAAUCGCUGCUCCAGGUUCUCGCUCCAGAACUUUCCAGGUUAUCCUCCCAGUAACCCUAGGAGAUCUAUAUACAUACACAAACACAUGCGUACAUCUGUGCUCGGCAUUUGCAGGCGUGUGUAAUACACACACGUAUACGCGUGCAUACGUGUGAGUUUAACACGUGCAGUCUGUGCACGUACGUGUAUACACGCGUGUGCGUGUGUGUAUAUAAAAUGGACAUACACUGGGGCGCCCGGGUGGCUCAGUCAGUUAAGCAUCCGACUUCAGCUCAGGUCAUGAUCUCGCGGUUCGUGAGUUCAAGCUCCGCACCGGGCUCUGUGCUGACAGCUCGGAGCCUGGAGCCUGCUUCGGCUUCUGUGUCUCUCUCUCUCUCUCUCUCUCUCUGCCCCUCCCCACCUCGCACUCUGUCCCUCUCUGUCUCUCAAAAAUGGAUAAACGUUAAAAAAAUUAUUUUUUAAAUGGACAUACACUUUUUCACAGGUAUUUUAUACAGAAAGGCUGCCAAAUCUCAGAAAGGACAAGUGACUUGUCCCAAUACCCACAGCCAGUGUGAGUGCUGGAGACAGUGUCGGAACCCAGGCAUCUAACCCUAAAGCAUGGGCUCUGACCCACCCACUAUACCUACAGCACCCUGACUUCACCCUUAGUGACCAACUGCUACAGCAUGGGUGAUCUUUGUGCCCAAACAGAGUGGAAGCAGACCCAGCUUCUGAAGCCUCCUGAGCCAAGCCGUCUGUGAUAUAAAAAGGAAAGCCAUUAACACGGAACCACGUCUGGGGCCAGCUGUGCCUCCUUUAUCACGUGAACAAGGCUCAAACCACGCUCGGGUGUCAGCCCCUUGAGUUACAUGAGAAUUUGCAAAACUAAACAUUCAUUGUCUUACGUCACUUUCCACCGAAGAAUUAAACACACUUCACCAUCAUGAAUCUGGACAGCAUCUUGGCUUAAAUGAUCGCCUUUCUGUUUUUAAAUAAGAGCGCUUCACAGACAAUCCCUCACAGAGAGUCGACAACAAGUAACACAAGAGGACACCAGCGUCAUCGACAUUUACUGCGCUCUCCCCGUGAACGAGACACUGCCCCCCGCCCCACGGGCACCACGGCAUGUAACCUCUCAACGGCCAGGGGCAGCCCUUCCUACUGCCACUUCUGUUGCUGAUGAUUCUUUACGAUGUCACUUAAGAAAGCCUUGCUUUAGUUCCACGCUGUAGCUCUUCCUUCUGGAGAUUUUCUCUGAUGCUGAACAGUGGGCCCAGAAAGCAUCUGUUCUGCCUCAUCAUUUUGCAACGUAUCUGAGACUCUGCCUGUGAAGGGGGUCCCGAGGCGAAGCCUCCUGGGAAGGACGCUCGCGUGCAGGGCUCACGGGGAAGCGGGGCACCUUCCCAUGCGCACAAAGGUUAGCAAGCAGGGGGCAGCGGGGGCAGACAAGCUGCUGCCCGGGCUUACUACUUACCAGUUCCGUGUGAACUUUAAGAUGUGCCUGCAGCUUGUAUUUAUCUGGAGUUGAGUAGUUGCAGCCAUCGGUGGGACACUUCAGCAGGACGUUACUGUGUUUCUGAAUAACGUGGCGUUUAAGGCAGUUUUUGGUGAUGGAGGAAUAAUGGCACUGGGAGCAGUGAUACAGGUGCUCCCGGGUGUGGGUGCGCACGUGCAUGUCAAAGUGCACUUGGUACCAAAAAAGUUUGCCUAAAAAAAUAUCGUCACGUG
This 2882-nucleotide long non-coding RNA is filed under the name Lynx pardinus (Iberian lynx). The stretch from base 239 to 438 matches the Rfam family "ZFAT antisense RNA 1 conserved region 2". Lineage: Eukaryota; Metazoa; Chordata; Mammalia; Carnivora; Felidae. The record is from RNAcentral.